CGGCACGGGUGAGUAACACGUAUCCAACCUGCCGUCUACUCUUGGACAGCCUUCUGAAAGGAAGAUUAAUACAAGAUGGCAUCAUGAGUUCACAUGUUCACAUGAUUAAAGGUAUUCCGGUAGACGAUGGGGAUGCGUUCCAUUAGAUAGUAGGCGGGGUAACGGCCCACCUAGUCUUCGAUGGAUAGGGGUUCUGAGAGGAAGGUCCCCCACAUUGGAAUUGAGACACGGUCCAA
This 236-nucleotide ribosomal RNA is filed under the name uncultured bacterium. RNAcentral's name for it is "partial 16S ribosomal RNA". It matches the Rfam family "Bacterial small subunit ribosomal RNA", at positions 100 to 334 of the family's 1533-position model. The record is from RNAcentral.